This is a long non-coding RNA of Schistocerca gregaria, 350 nucleotides long. RefSeq lists it as uncharacterized. NCBI's taxonomy places the organism in Eukaryota, Metazoa, Arthropoda, Insecta, Orthoptera, Acrididae. The record is from RefSeq and is a predicted model, not a curated record. The transcript has 3 exons.
GAGAAAACACUGUUCUUUCUUCCUGUUUAUUCUCGUGAAACAUUUUUUUCCUGUGACAGCAACAAGCUAUUGCUACAAUGGAACAGAUUACUUCAGAUGCGAGUUUUACCAAAGGUGUUGUGUCAACAACACCAGUUGCUGUGUGAAGGUCGGGACGGUGGCGUGGUGCGUGGGCGGCGUGACGGCGCUACUGGUGGUGCUGACGGUGUGGUGCCGGCGGCAGCACCAGGCGGCGCUGCAGGGGCAGCUGAAGCGCGCGCAGCCCGCCAUCCAGCGCCACGAGCGCUGCUGCCCGCUGCGCGCCAAGGACCCCUCCAUAGACGCCGAAUGCUGCUGCCGCCGGCGGAGGG